UCAGAUGGCUGGAUGGCCGCGCCUGACCCUUGGGAUCAUCCCUUGCGGGCGGGUGAGGAAAGUCCGGGCACCACACAAGCACGGUGCCGGUUAACGACCGGCGGGGGCGACCCUAGGGAAAGUGCCACAGAAAGCAAACCGCCCACGUUCGCGUGGGCAAGGGUGAAAGGGUGCGGUAAGAGCGCACCGCGCCCCCGGCGACGGGGGCGGCAUGGUAAACCCCACCGGGUGCAAGAUCGAGAAGGACGGCCGGGGGCUUCGGGCUCCACGCGCGCUUGUGCGCCGUCGUCCGGGUGCAUCGCGCGAGGCGGCUGGCGACAGCCGUCCCAGACGAAUGGCCAUCCAUCCCGCGCUUUCGGGCGCGGGGGGACAGAACCCGGCUUACAGGCCGUCUGAUCCU
This 400-nucleotide RNase P RNA is filed under the name Alphaproteobacteria bacterium. Its description in RNAcentral is "RNase P RNA component class A". It matches the Rfam family "Bacterial RNase P class A". From Rfam's summary of the family: Ribonuclease P (RNase P) is a ubiquitous endoribonuclease, found in archaea, bacteria and eukarya as well as chloroplasts and mitochondria. Its best characterised activity is the generation of mature 5'-ends of tRNAs by cleaving the 5'-leader elements of precursor-tRNAs. Lineage: Bacteria; Pseudomonadati; Pseudomonadota; Alphaproteobacteria. The record is from RNAcentral.